Molecule: ribosomal RNA, 470 nt
Filed under: uncultured bacterium
Lineage: Bacteria
Description: bacterial SSU rRNA
Rfam family: Bacterial small subunit ribosomal RNA
Source: RNAcentral
AGGACGAACGCUGGCGGCGUGCCUAACACAUGCAAGUCGAACGGGGUUACGAGAGCUUGCUCUUGUAACUUAGUGGCGAACGGGUGAGUAACGCGUGAGAAACCUGCCUCUCAGUGGGGGACAACAGUUGGAAACGACUGCUAAUACCGCAUAACACUUUAGUACCGCGUGGUACAGAAGUCAAAGCUUUAUGUGCUGAGAGAUGGUCUCACGUCUGAUUAGCUAGAUGGCGGGGUAACGGCCCACCAUGACGACGAUCAGUAGCCGGUCUGAGAGGAUGAACGGCCACAUUGGGACUGAGAUACGGCCCAGACUCCUACGGGAGGCAGCAGUGGGGAAUAUUGGGCAAUGGGGGAAACCCUGACCCAGCAACGCCGCGUGAAGGAAGAAGGCCUUCGGGUUGUAAACUUCUUUUACCAGGGACGAAGAACGUGACGGUACCUGGAGAAAAAGCAACGGCUAACUACGUG